CACGCCGCGUGAGUGAUGAAGGUUUUCGGAUCGUAAAGCUCUGUUGUUAGGGAAGAACAAGUGCCGUUCAAAUAGGGCGGCACCUUGACGGUACCUAACCAGAAAGCCACGGCUAACUACGUGCCAGCAGCCGCGGUAAUACGUAGGUGGCAAGCGUUGUCCGGAAUUAUUGGGCGUAAAGGGCUCGCAGGCGGUUUCUUAAGUCUGAUGUGAAAGCCCCCGGCUCAACCGGGGAGGGUCAUUGGAAACUGGGGAACUUGAGUGCAGAAGAGGAGAGUGGAAUUCCACGUGUAGCGGUGAAAUGCGUAGAGAUGUGGAGGAACACCAGUGGCGAAGGCGACUCUCUGGUCUGUAACUGACGCUGAGGAGCGAAAGCGUGGGGAGCGAACAGGAUUAGAUACCCUGGUAGUCCACGCCGUAAACGAUGAGUGCUAAGUGUUAGGGGGUUUCCGCCCCUUAGUGCUGCAGCUAACGCAUUAAGCACUCCGCCUGGGGAGUACGGUCGCAAGACUGAAACUCAAAGGAAUUGACGGGGGCCCGCACAAGCGGUGGAGCAUGUGGUUUAAUUCGAAGCAACGCGAAGAACCUUACCAGGUCUUGACAUCCUCUGACAAUCCUAGAGAUAGGACGUCCCCUUCGGGGGCAGAGUGACAGGUGGUGCAUGGUUGUCGUCAGCUCGUGUCGUGAGAUGUUGGGUUAAGUCCCGCAACAGCGGCAAACCC
RNAcentral lists this ribosomal RNA (722 nucleotides) under Bacillus velezensis. Its description in RNAcentral is "bacterial SSU rRNA". It matches the Rfam family "Bacterial small subunit ribosomal RNA", at positions 393 to 1105 of the family's 1533-position model. Lineage: Bacteria; Bacillati; Bacillota; Bacilli; Caryophanales; Bacillaceae. The record is from RNAcentral.